This is a long non-coding RNA of Carica papaya (papaya), 933 nucleotides long. RefSeq lists it as uncharacterized. The record is from RefSeq and is a predicted model, not a curated record. Lineage: Eukaryota; Viridiplantae; Streptophyta; Magnoliopsida; Brassicales; Caricaceae.
CAAUUUUAUGCUAAGAUGUUUCCUUUAUCUGCAUUUGCACCUGCACCUUAUUUCUUCUUUCGAGUUAUAUAUAUAUAUAUAUAGAAGUAGUACAGUAUAAUAUUAACCGGGAAAGAUCAAAAAAGGAGAGGUGCAGGUGUAGGUGCAGAUGAAUGUCAUUUUGGCUUCUUCAUUUCUUCUUUUUUUUUUUUAAAGAUCAUUUUAAAUUUCAGAUCUCGUUUAAUGAAUUAUUGUUCUUUGGGCAAGGGAUUACAGUGCUGUUUUUAACUUUUAAAUUUAAGCUAGUGUGAUUCAGAACAAACGAAGAAGCUAAGGCAUCUCCAGGUUUUUGUACUGUGUGUGAUGGAUCCAUAAAAAAUUUCAUCGAUUGGCUUGCAUGUACGUGGCUUGGAAGAUAUGGACUCUCUUACAUCGUUUUGAGUUUCAUAUUAAGUUUUCUGCUUGGCUUGCGUGAUACAACUAAUGCUAGAAUGAUCGCUCAACAUAUUGGUCAGUUAAUACAAGGGGAUAUUGCUGGUUAAAUAUGCUGGUGGGUUGGCCAGAUGAAAUUUGAACUAAUUAAUCUCAGUAUUGACAACCCAUUAGCCGUUGCUAUAUUUCUUUCUAAAUCUUUGUUGAAUGAGUUUUAAAUAUGAAAAGUUGCCUAAAUUCUGCUCUAACUGUGGCACCAUCGGAAAUGAAAAGAGGUGUUAGCAAGGGAUGCCAUCUAUGAUAAUAACACCUUCAAGCUUAUGGCUUAAAGCUUUUGGUUCUUGGCUUAGAAGGACACUUCUUCGUAUAUUUCUCCAUGUACAGCCUGUAAACUUCUUUAGUCCCAUACUUUAAGGUUCACAUAACCUUGAUAUUAUUUUUAAUUUAUAGUUGUAAUGUAAAUUCCUCUUGCUACAAUUACUUUUAGUUAAACCAGGAUCACGAGAUGUUUCAAACAUUUUA